This 438-nucleotide ribosomal RNA is filed under the name uncultured bacterium. RNAcentral's name for it is "partial 16S ribosomal RNA". It matches the Rfam family "Bacterial small subunit ribosomal RNA", at positions 339 to 795 of the family's 1533-position model. The record is from RNAcentral.
CUACGGCCGCUCCAGUGGGGAAUAUUGCACAAUGGGGGAAACCCUGAUGCAGCAACGCCGCGUGGAGGAUGACACAUUUCGGUGCGUAAACUCCUUUUAUAGGUCAAGAUAAUGACGGUAGCCUAUGAAUAAGCGCCGGCUAACUCCGUGCCAGCAGCCGCGGUAAUACGGAGGGCGCAAGCGUUACUCGGAAUCACUGGGCGUAAAGAGCAUGUAGGCGGGUUAAUAAGUCAGAAGUGAAAUCCAAUAGCUCAACUAUUGAACUGCUUUUGAAACUGUUAACCUAGAGUGUGGGAGAGGUAGAUGGAAUUUCUGGUGUAGGGGUAAAAUCCGUAGAGAUCAGAAGGAAUACCGAUUGCGAAGGCGAUCUACUGGAACAUUACUGACGCUGAGAUGCGAAAGCGUGGGGAGCAAACAGGAUUAGAUACCCCCGUAGUC